Molecule: long non-coding RNA, 491 nt
Filed under: Brassica napus (rape)
Lineage: Eukaryota; Viridiplantae; Streptophyta; Magnoliopsida; Brassicales; Brassicaceae
Description: long non-coding RNA (BNAP_LNC004008)
Source: RNAcentral
UAACCCACCCCGUAUUAAUUUUAUUUAUAUUUUAAAUCUUUAAUUAUAGUACAAAUUUAUUUUUAGCUUUUAUAUUGGUCAAAAUUUGUUUUAUUAUUAUAUCAAUUAAUUAUAUGUCAUUCAAUUCGUCUCAUACUUGAUAAAUAUAUUGAAUUAUUUUUCAUAUUCUAAUUUAAAUAUGUAUAUUAAAGUAUGAAAUUAUUUAUUGGUUUAUAUAUAUUACUCUAAUAUUUUGUUUUAAUAAGUUAAAGUUGUUGUAAAAUUCAUGAAUAUAUGUUAUUCUUUAAUUUUUUAAUUUAUAAAAUAGUUAAUAGAUGGAUUAAGUUACUUUAUAUUUAUUAAUUGGGGUAGUAAUUUAAUUACGAAUAUAAAUUAUGUACAUAUAAAUAUCAUAGAAAUGUUAUUUCUUAUUCUGUAAAUAAAAAUAUAUUUAAUAUUCAUUGAUAAUUAUAGAUAUUAUUAAUUAUUAAUUUAAUUAUUGAAAAUUAAAU